This 1094-nucleotide long non-coding RNA is filed under the name Capsicum annuum. RNAcentral's name for it is "long non-coding RNA (CANN_LNC009367)". The record is from RNAcentral. Lineage: Eukaryota; Viridiplantae; Streptophyta; Magnoliopsida; Solanales; Solanaceae.
UAAGUAACCUUUUUGGUUGAAGAAAAAGCUAGGAAGUGCUAUCUUUGAAGGAUUGGAAUUGGAGAUUCUUUAAUAUUGAAGGCAUAAGUUUGGAUUUCUAAACUGCUUUAAUUACAUAAAUGUCAAAGUUAUGUAUCUUUAUGAUCUAUGGUCAACCACAAUAUAUACAUACAAGUCUGUAUUCGCGAGAAAAUGUUCUUGAGUAUUAGUGUAUUUUUGCAAGUACUAUUCACGUUCAUUUUGAAAUUAUAUAGCAAUCUCAUAGAAUUUGGCAGGUACAUUUGAAGUCGAUGCAUGAAUGAAAUAUGAAAAUUAUUACAAUAGGGAGAAAUUUCAACAAAUUACUGAUGCAGCAUGUACGGUUGAAUAAAUAUUAUUAAGCAUUUUUCAAGUUUCAACUAUAUAUACAAACAUUCAAUUCAAUACGUCCAUAAGAAAAUUUAAGAUGUUUUUUGAUAGGCACUAUCAAACUAUGUUUUUUGAUAGGCACUAUCAAACUUGUGACUUUAUUUGCUACUUUAGCAAUAUCAUUGUUUUGUUUUUGAUCGUGAGGUUUAUUAGUGUGCUCUGUUUUUAUAGGAAGAGAAAUGACUAUUAAGGUAAAGCCAGCAAUUGCCCUGAGGGCCAUCCUUGUUGGAGGAAUUGCUGCAUUUUCCAAAAUCGGUGGUGCUGUUAAAGAUGUAGGAGGUGUAAAAGCCGGCACAGCUACUGCUGCUAUGAGUGCUGCAGCAACUGCUGCCUUUUCAGGAUCCAGGCAAGAAGCGAAAACAGCUUCUCAGCAGUCAUCAAAAUGAUGAUCUAUAUGAAGAUCAGUGUAGAGAUAGUGAUCCCCAUUUCAGCUUGUGAUCUUUUUCCUUCACUAUAAUGUACUAUAUUUUAGGACAAACUAUAAGCUAUAGGUUAGUGGGGUUGCUAAUUGGAUGGUUUCUUUAAUUGAUCAAGUAGGUUAUGUAAUUGAGGCCUGGUUGCUGGUUCUGUACAAAUGGAUGUAGGAAAUUGUUGAAGUGAAGAGCUUUUUGUUAUCACUUUGCACAUAGUAUCCUGGGAAUUUAGAUCUGGUUUAUAAAUAAAGAGUACUUGUGGCUUUAUUGUUG